ACCGCCCUAGUUCUAACCGUAAACGAUGCCAACUGGCCAUUAGCCGGCGUUAAUUUGACGACUCGGCUGGCAGCCUCCGGGAAACCAAAGUUUUCUGGUUCCGGGGGAAGUAUGGUUGCAAAGCUUAAACUUAAAGGAAUUGACGGAAGGGCACCACCAGGUGUGGAGCCUGCGGCUUAAUUUGACUCAACACGGGAAAUCUCACCCGGCCAAGACACAAUAAGGAUUGACAGAUUGAUAGCUCUUUCUCGAUUUUGUGGGUGGUGGUGCAUGGCCGUUCUUAGUUGGUGGAGCGAUUUGUCUGGUUAAUUCCGAUAACGAACGAGACUCUAGCCUAUUAAAUAGGUUUUGAAUUUUUAGUCCCUCACGGGACCGUUUGAAACCCUUCUUAGAGGGACAGACGGCUUAUAGCCGUACGAGAUUGAGCAAUAACAGGUCUGUGAUGCCCUUAGAUGUCCGGGGCUGCACGCGCGCUACACUGAAUGGGGCACAGUGUUUCGCGCCCGUCUACGAAAGUAGUCGGUAAUCACGAAUUCUAUUCGUGCUUGGGAUAGUGGAUUGAAAUUAUUCCACUUAAACGAGGAAUAUCUAGUAAGCGUGGGUCAUAAGUUCGCGUUGACUAUGUCCCUGCCCUUUGUACACACCGCCCGUCGCUACUACAGAUUGGAAGAUUCGAUGAAACACAUGGACUGGGUCCGAGGUGAUCUAAAAAGUCGUUUCGGUACGCGGGAAGUGCG
This 737-nucleotide ribosomal RNA is filed under the name Mermithidae sp. XT-2021. Its description in RNAcentral is "SSU rRNA". It matches the Rfam family "Eukaryotic small subunit ribosomal RNA", at positions 1014 to 1758 of the family's 1831-position model. Lineage: Eukaryota; Metazoa; Nematoda; Enoplea; Mermithida; Mermithidae. The record is from RNAcentral.